This is an RNA transcript of Eucalyptus grandis, 1477 nucleotides long. RefSeq lists it as uncharacterized. The transcript is spliced from 4 exons. Lineage: Eukaryota; Viridiplantae; Streptophyta; Magnoliopsida; Myrtales; Myrtaceae. The record is from RefSeq and is a predicted model, not a curated record.
UUAUAUUUGCAAGUUCACCUCAUAUCCGUCCCAUCUUUGCAAAAAGUGGAAAAAUAAAAUUGAAAGGCAAAAACUGCGCGACACAAUUUAUGAUGCAGAAUCGGUUCGGUCUGGCCCCCCUCAAACCCUCCUUACGUGCAAAAGCAGAAGCAGAAGCGACUCAGAGGAAUUGAAGAAUCGGGAGACCACCUUAUCUCAUACACACACACACGCUCAUAGCAGCAGCAGCAGCAGCAGAAGCUGAGUGCAUGUGAAUUUUGCAAGGGCUCGAACGCGACUUGGAAAUGGCGUCCAUCUUCCCUUCGUCUCCAUCUAUCGAUAGGCCCUCUAAAUUGUUUUGUGGGAAUCCUCCUCCACCUACUCCCAUUUCUCUUGGGCAAUUCAGGCUGGGUUGGCCACAGCAUGGUAAAGGAUAUAAAAACUUCAGAAUUGAACAAAUGAGUGUGGUUCAGAAUGGUAGGCAUCCUCUUUUGUGUGUAAUGGGAAUGGCGGCAAGGCACUCGGGCGAUCCUGAAAGAAUGAGUUUUCAUCAUCUAUUAGAUAAGGGGAAGGAGUUGUGGGACAGUUCACCAGAACCAGUCAAGAGCUUCCCGUGGAUCCGAGCUUUGGAGAAUUUCAUUCAACUCAUUCUUGAUCUUGUCUUGGCAGUAUUCAAGUUCUUGUGUGUACCGUUAUUUGCUGUAUCUUCUCUAAGCGAGAUGUCCUAUUGUGCUCAUGAAAAGAAGCUUGCAACUUGUGCCUUUGCCACUUCUCGUUGGUGUUGCUUUUGCUGGGGUGUUAAAUGAGACAGCACUGGAAUUAUCUCCACUGCUUAAGGAUGCAGAAGUGCCAUGGCAUCUGAUUGCCAUUGCUGUUUUUUUUACAAUGCUGAAAUUGCCUGGACCUUAUUACCCUUACUGGGGUCGCAUACUUAUUCCUCACUUUGCAAAUGGAGGGCUAUUGAGGAUUUUGUGGUAUGCUUUUUUAUGGAAUAGAAGGCCCCGGAAGGGAUCGGUCUAAAUUUUCUGAAUGGUGGUCCUGCUGCUUUCAGAGGUUAUGACUGCUAUGAGGAAAUUGACUAUUGAUGUCAUCAUAGUAAGCGUCGGCAUGUCAGUGUCAGCUGCCGGAUGGAAGCUGAAUGGAGGCGGAGGAGCAUGGCAUGCCGCAUAUCGGCUAAAUCAACCGAUUUUGCCGUUAUGUGGGUUUAGUCCCCCAUUCUUUUGGUUGAAUAGUUCUCUUCUGACGGGGGAUCAUACAGAAAUUGUAGUCUCUAGCUAUGCUUCCCCAGGAACCGUAGAGUUCGGAUUUUGUUGCUCUUCUAUGUUUCUUCCUCCAUGAUUUUUUUUUCCUAAAGCACAGUUCUUUUUUCCCCCAAUCUUACUGUCUAAAGAUUGAAGUUCCUAACCAUACAUAUAUGUCUUAAACUAAUUGCCGAUCGCCAUCGAUUUCAUAUAUUGCGCGCUGUGCUUUUACAAUGCAAUAACAAUUCAUUUGUUAA